Molecule: ribosomal RNA, 613 nt
Filed under: uncultured fungus
Lineage: Eukaryota; Fungi
Description: eukaryotic LSU rRNA
Rfam family: Eukaryotic large subunit ribosomal RNA
Source: RNAcentral
GACCUCAAAUCAGGUAGGACUACCCGCUGAACUUAAGCAUAUCAAUAAGCGGAGGAAAAGAAACUAACAAGGAUUCCCCUAGUAACUGCGAGUGAAGCGGGAAAAGCUCAAAUUUUGAAUCUGGUGGUCGUUUUGGCCGUCCGAGUUGUAAUCUAGAGAAGCGUCUUCCGUGCUGGCCCGUGUACAAGUCUCCUGGAAGGGAGCGUCAUAGAGGGUGAGAAUCCCGUCUUUGACACGGACUACCAGUGCUAUGUGAUGCGCUCUCGACGAGUCGAGUUGUUUGGGAAUGCAGCUCAAAUCGGGUGGUAAACUCCAUCUAAAGCUAAAUACAGGCGAGAGACCGAUAGCGAACAAGUACCGUGAGGGAAAGAUGAAAAGAACUUUGGAAAGAGAGUUAAACAGUACGUGAAAUUGCUGAAAGGGAAACGCUCGAUGUCAGUCGCGUCGGCCGGGGAUCAACCUCGCUUCGUUGCUGGGUGCACUUUCUGGUCGACGGGUCAGCAUCGGUUUCGGUCGUCGUACAAUGGCGGAGGGAACGUGGCACUCUUCCGAGUGUGUUAUAGCCUUUCGUCGCAUGCGGCGGUCGGGACCGAGGAACUCAGCAACGACCUCC